This 1955-nucleotide long non-coding RNA is filed under the name Homo sapiens (human). Its description in RNAcentral is "HSALNT0168713". The record is from RNAcentral. Lineage: Eukaryota; Metazoa; Chordata; Mammalia; Primates; Hominidae.
CUUACCGAAGGCGGGCUCCCUGUUGUCCAAUGCGGAUCACAGGCCCACUACAUUUAGCGGAAGUGGAAAAAAAAAACACCCACGCAGCCCCACUUCGGGACACACCUGCAGCCCAGCGGACAGCCCACCAGCCUCCAAACAGUUCUGCGAAAAAUUAGGCUAUCUUUCAUUAGCUAUCUAUCAUGCGGCCUCCACCAGGCUGCAGGAUAUGAGGGCCAUUUAAUUAGGCCCUGCACCACUCUCGGGUGUGAAAAGGCUCUCAAACGCUUUGAUUCCCCGCUGCUUCGCAGCAGGAAGUUGUUGGCGAUAAUUGACAUAGGAUUUCCUUGUUAACCAGCAGCAGACACGCCGGAUUAAAGCGACAGAGAUCUCGAGAAGAAAGUGAAAGAGAUAAGAAGCUCGGAAGACUUCUGCUUAUUUGGCACUUGAGGAUGGCAGGAAACAGCAAUAACCUACUCAAGUGGCGACUCUAGAGUGGAAGGGCGUCCCCUUAUCAGACCUAUUUCAGCUUGGCUGAUCAAAGAUUGACUCCCCGCAAAAUCACAUAGGCCUGGGGUCAUUGUGAGGCUGCCUGUGAGCGCACUCAACGAGGGAGGAAAUACAGGCAAAUUAACUCUGGGGAGGACCGGGGAUGAGGGGCCUCCACGCCUUGUUCCACUUCGGAAGACGGUGCGAUCUCAUUUUGCCCUGUGCGAUUCCUUAGGUAUAACAUCCAAUUGCUCCUGUUGGAAGGGACACUCUGCAUGUAAAUGGCAGAGACACUCUGGUUCACUCAAAUGUAUUGUUCCUGAAAGAAAGGAAGUGGUCUGCAGAGAAGAUACUCAGCUAGAAGAUUCCUCUGUGAGGCUGCUAGUACUUCUCCAGCAGACCAAGCCAGGAGAGCUUUCUCAAAGAUUCUACCAGAUUUUCCAGGGGUUCUCAAAGAUUGUCUGCAAACCAGCUCUGAUAAAUGAUUGCAGCUUCUUGAGUCUAUAGAGAGAGACCUUUAUGCUCUCUCUACUAGGAAGUAAUGCUUUUUUCCCUGAGAUUAUGUUCUUUUUAAAAUUUUUAUGUGCUUUUAAAAUCUCAUGUGUGUAUUAACAUGUCCUUUCUUUAUAGAAUGUUGAAGACAAUAUAUAAAUUUCUGAAAAGAUUUGAAUGAUUUGAUUUGGCAAAAUAAAGAAUUGCCAAUCCUACAUAGAGCUCCAUACACCAAUUUUUAAAAAUAAUUUUAUUGCUUCACAAAAUCUGGGAACCACUGGAUAUAUGAAGUAUCUCUUUUAGCUAAAGCAAAGUCAACUCUCACCCUCGAAAAAAGUUCAUUUUUUGAUCUGUUUUUAUUUUUCUGUGGCAAAAAGUGCUUUUGUGAUGCCUCUAUGAAUAAAAGACUCAUUUUCCUAAGUGAUGCAUCUGCUUUUAAUGUCUUAAAUGCUGGGAUAGAACAGACAUAUCUUCCCUGGUCUGGGUUUUCUUAAAUAGCCAGAAGUCUUCGUGAUGAAGACAAGCAAGCAUCUAAUAGAGAAAUAACUCCAAGACAAAGUGCCGUGGCUGCACGAUGUCGCCUCCCUGACAACCUAUAAAUGGACCAUAUUGAUGAAGUGAACAGGACUCUCUCUGGUCAUUUUCAACUAGAAACUAAUAAUCCCCGUCAUGAUAUCAGGCAUGCAAUAACCUCGGUUAAGACUAGGUUCAUCAAAUAAAUCACUCAGGAAUUUCUCUAUUUCUUUCUCUGGACACAUUGCACAUCUGCUCAAUGAAAGGAAGAAAGAAGCAAUAUUUCUUUGAUCAGGAAUUUUUUUUUAAUAUUCUUGUAUCCAUCCCUUGGGAUACUAUCUUUUCAAGUGGGUGCAGAUAAUACAUCACUUUCUAAUGAAUGUGGAGAAUUUAUGAAUUUAAGCUAUAAAACCAAAUAUGAGGGAUUUUAGUUUAUCUCAAUCUAUAUUUUACACUGUCAUGAGAAAAUAAACCGGACCACA